RNAcentral lists this unclassified non-coding RNA (216 nucleotides) under Hevea brasiliensis (rubber tree). The record is from RNAcentral. Lineage: Eukaryota; Viridiplantae; Streptophyta; Magnoliopsida; Malpighiales; Euphorbiaceae.
UAAUGUUGAAAAAAAGAAAGAGCAUACGUGCCUACAUAUAAUGCAACCUUUUGGAGUUACAACAUAAAGCAAGCUGUUAUCGACCACUUGCAAAGCUUGUGAACUUGAGGCACUUCAAUGAAUGAAGAGCAUCAAUAUGUUGUAGUUCGAAUGUAAUUCUUUCUGAUUGAAUGUAAGUUGUUGAGUGCAUCACUUAUGUCCAUUCUAUCUUGAGGA